UGAGUUAGAAGCUUCUACUUGUGAUAGUAAGGAUCUAUCGGCACGGAUGCUUAGAUCUUCCUUUUAAUUUGGUAGGCAUUUUUUUAAGCAAGUCAUCUCCCUUUUCAGAUUAUAGUAGUAUUAUACGAACGAGCAUCUGCUUGUCGUUGGAAGAUAGCGAAAGAAAGAGAGUAGACAAAUUAUAAGUACCAAGAAGAUAA
This 200-nucleotide long non-coding RNA is filed under the name Setaria viridis. RNAcentral describes it as "long non-coding RNA (SVIR_LNC004871)". Lineage: Eukaryota; Viridiplantae; Streptophyta; Magnoliopsida; Poales; Poaceae. The record is from RNAcentral.